Molecule: ribosomal RNA, 253 nt
Filed under: uncultured bacterium
Lineage: Bacteria
Description: partial 16S ribosomal RNA
Rfam family: Bacterial small subunit ribosomal RNA
Source: RNAcentral
UACGGGGGGGGCAAGCGUUGUUCGGAAUUACUGGGCGUAAAGCGAGUGUAGGCGGUUUCCUAAGUCGGAUGUGAAAGCCCCGGGCUCAACCCGGGAAGUGCACUCGAAACUGGGAGGCUAGAGUAUCGGAGAGGUUGGUGGAAUUCUCGGUGUAGAGGUGAAAUUCGUAGAUAUCGAGAGGAACACCGGUGGCGAAGGCGGCCAACUGGGCGAAUACUGACGCUGAGACUCGAAAGCGUGGGGAGCAAACAGG